ACGCUGGCGGCGUGCUUAACACAUGCAAGUCGAACGGAAAGGCCCUGCUUUUGUGGGGUGCUCGAGUGGCGAACGGGUGAGUAACACGUGAGUAACCUGCCCUUGACUUUGGGAUAACUUCAGGAAACUGGGGCUAAUACCGGAUAGGAGCUCCUGCUGCAUGGUGGGGGUUGGAAAGUUUCGGCGGUUGGGGAUGGACUCGCGGCUUAUCAGCUUGUUGGUGGGGUAGUGGCUUACCAAGGCUUUGACGGGUAGCCGGCCUGAGAGGGUGACCGGCCACAUUGGGACUGAGAUACGGCCCAGACUCCUACGGGAGGCAGCAGUGGGGAAUAUUGCACAAUGGGCGGAAGCCUGAUGCAGCAACGCCGCGUGCGGGAUGACGGCCUUCGGGUUGUAAACCGCUUUCGCCUGUGACGAAGCGUGAGUGACGGUAAUGGGUAAAGAAGCACCGGCUAACUACGUGCCAGCAGCCGCGGUGAUACGUAGGGUGCGAGCGUUGUCCGGAUUUAUUGGGCGUAAAGGGCUCGUAGGUGGUUGAUCGCGUCGGAAGUGUAAUCUUGGGGCUUAACCCUGAGCGUGCUUUCGAUACGGGUUGACUUGAGGAAGGUAGGGGAGAAUGGAAUUCCUGGUGGAGCGGUGGAAUGCGCAGAUAUCAGGAGGAACACCAGUGGCGAAGGCGGUUCUCUGGGCCUUUCCUGACGCUGAGGAGCGAAAGCGUGGGGAGCGAACAGGCUUAGAUACCCUGGUAGUCCACGCUGUAAACGGUGGGUACUAGGUGUGGGGUCCAUUCCACGGGUUCCGUGCCGUAGCUAACGCUUUAAGUACCCCGCCUGGGGAGUACGGCCGCAAGGCUAAAACUCAAAGGAAUUGACGGGGCCCCGCACAAGCGGCGGAGCAUGCGGAUUAAUUCGAUGCAACGCGUAGAACCUUAACUGGGUUUGACAUGGAUCGGGAGUGCUCAGAGAUGGGUGUGCCUCUUUUGGGGUCGGUUCACAGGUGGUGCAUGGCUGUCGUCAGCUCGUGUCGUGAGAUGUUGGGUUAAGUCCCGCAACGAGCGCAACCCUUGUUCACUGUUGCCAGCACGUUAUGGUGGGGACUCAGUGGAGACCGCCGGGGUCAACUCGGAGGAAGGUGGGGAUGACGUCAAGUCAUCAUGCCCCUUAUGUCCAGGGCUUCACGCAUGCUACAAUGGCUGGUACAGAGAGUGGCGAGCCUGUGAGGGUGAGCGAAUCUCGGAAAGCCGGUCUCAGUUCGGAUUGGGGUCUGCAACUCGACCUCAUGAAGUCGGAGUCGCUAGUAAUCGCAGAUCAGCAACGCUGCGGUGAAUACGUUCCCGGGGCUUGUACACACCGCCCGUCAAGUCAUGAAAGUUGGUAACACCCGAAGCCGGUGGCCUAACCGUUGUGGGGGAGCCGUCGAAGGUGGGACUGGA
RNAcentral lists this ribosomal RNA (1432 nucleotides) under uncultured organism. RNAcentral's name for it is "partial small subunit ribosomal RNA". It matches the Rfam family "Bacterial small subunit ribosomal RNA". The record is from RNAcentral.